AUUUGGCUGACGAAUCCCAAAUAGGACGAAACGCGCGUCCAGGAC
Molecule: non-coding RNA, 45 nt
Filed under: Schistosoma margrebowiei
Lineage: Eukaryota; Metazoa; Platyhelminthes; Trematoda; Strigeidida; Schistosomatidae
Source: RNAcentral